GUCUACGGCCAUACCACCCUGAACGCGCCCGAUCUCGUCUGAUCUCGGAAGCUAAGCAGGGUUGGGCCUGGUUAGUACUUGGAUGGGAGUUAGACGAUAGAGUCAGUACUGGGCC
Molecule: ribosomal RNA, 115 nt
Filed under: Callithrix jacchus (white-tufted-ear marmoset)
Lineage: Eukaryota; Metazoa; Chordata; Mammalia; Primates; Cebidae
Source: RNAcentral